GGGGCUGUAGCUCAGUUGGGAGAGCGCCACAAUCGCACUGUGGAGGCCGGGGGUUCGAGUCCCCCCAGCUCCACCA
Molecule: transfer RNA, 76 nt
Filed under: Caldilineaceae bacterium SB0664_bin_22
Lineage: Bacteria; Bacillati; Chloroflexota; Caldilineae; Caldilineales; Caldilineaceae
Also listed under: 2 other names
Description: tRNA-Ala
Rfam family: tRNA
About the family: Transfer RNA (tRNA) molecules are approximately 80 nucleotides in length. Their secondary structure includes four short double-helical elements and three loops (D, anti-codon, and T loops).
Source: RNAcentral